GGAGGUUGGCGCGACUUCGAGGGAGGCCGUGGCGGCUGCGACGCGAGGAAGAAGGUCCGCCUCUGGUGACUUUAGCAAGCGACGACCAGCGUUGUUCAAGAAGGAGAGGGUAUUUCCCUCUUGCGGGCGCAGACGCAACGUGGGGAGAAGAAAGAGCCUCAUGUGAGGAGGAGAAGGACAGCUGCGCAGGCGACGUUGCCGGCAACACCCUUGGCCGACACGACGGAGGUGGGGUGGCGCUAGUCAAAGUAGUUGUGCGGAGAAGAGAGAGAGAGGAGAAAGCCUUUGCGGUGGCCGGCGAGGGGGUGUGGAAGCAGUGGAGACGGAGGUCUCUCUAGGUCUCUCGUUCAGAGAAGAGAUCUGAGUAUUUUGGUUGUUGAAUGCACAAAUGGGAGUAAGCUACUGGAACCCUUAAUUUCUGUUAGGGUUAAGAGGGGCUUUGGGCCUGGCAUGGGCCGCAUUCUUUCUGGUCGCCACCACUUACGUUCCUAUUCACACUCCCAUGCACACCUGGACAUUGGACUGCGAUUUCUCUGCCCGCCACCACACCGCUCUGUUUGCACCCCCACUUUGUUUCUGCAAGGAAAGAGGCCUUGGGCUGG
RNAcentral lists this long non-coding RNA (602 nucleotides) under Vigna radiata. RNAcentral describes it as "long non-coding RNA (VRAD_LNC002961)". Lineage: Eukaryota; Viridiplantae; Streptophyta; Magnoliopsida; Fabales; Fabaceae. The record is from RNAcentral.